RNAcentral lists this small RNA (1762 nucleotides) under Rattus norvegicus (Norway rat). Its description in RNAcentral is "uncharacterized LOC108350396". The record is from RNAcentral. Lineage: Eukaryota; Metazoa; Chordata; Mammalia; Rodentia; Muridae.
AUGGGUGAUAGGUUGCAAGGAAGGUUAAAGUAUCUAAGAACCAGCAUUAAAAAUAGGAUUUGAUAAAAGUAAAGUUACAUCACAGGCAUUUGGUUAUGGUCGUAGAAAGCUAACAAGCACUGAUGGUGUUUCCUCAAUCCAAUAGAAGUAGCCCUAGGGAGGACUUGAAGUCCCUCUGGCCAGAGCACAUAGCUUUUUAAUUAACUGCCUUGGACCCAGAUAUAAGCGCAGUAUGUAACUUUGGGGAACCUACAGUUGACAACACUGGGUUUUUACUAGAAUGGAGACUUUAUUUUCUGGAAAUAAUCUGAGAUAUAAACAUACUUUGUUUUUGAUUAAGGGCAAAGGUAUGACAUGGUCUCAUGAGACUCAAUCAAGUGAAUGAAAUUGGGACUAGAGCCUGCUGGAUACUAUCCAGUGCGUGCGAGGAAGAUGUCGGAGAUGCUUGGGGAUGAGCUCACCCCGAAACCUACACACAGACACCAUCCUGGUAGAUCCACUCUGCAAGCGUUGCUCUCCCUGCGGCAGGACUGACUGGAUCCAGGGGACACCACAGCAGAGGAGCAGAGGAGCGUCUGCUUUGAAGAGAAAACAGACUUUUUAUUAGAAGUCACUGGAAAGAAGUUACCUUUGCCUCUAAGAAGGCUGGGAUGACACUCAAUAAAAUCCAACUGUCUGCAUGUGCCAUAUUUUCACUUUCCAUUCACCAGUCAAUAGACAUCUAGGCUGAUGUGACUUCCUCCAGAAUAUAGAAAACUACAGCAACCAUGAACGCUACAUUUUCUUCGCUGUGGCAAGUCCGAUGGUUUUUCUCAUCCCUGGGAUUUCAGAUACUGUGAAUGUAAUGUUGCUGGAUGGAUGGCUGUUUGCUUUCCUUUAAAUAAUCUUGAGUUUGCUCUGACUAACAAGCUAGUUGCUUUUCCACCUGAUUCUAUCCAGACUGGUCUCAGCUUUUCUAUACACAGCUCCACUGCAGGGGCUGCUCGAGUUUACUAAGGGAUGCCCUGCGAACUUGACCAAAUACCUUGAGUGACCAACGAGAGCUUCCUGGCUAAAUGGCUAAUGGUUUAGCUGUGCCCUGCUCUGAGAACUGGCAAGUCCCCGCCCAUGCUAUGUUCUGGCUUGUGGGAUCUUUUAUCCCACGUGUGCUCAGUCUAAUAGUUUGCAAAGACACCCGACUUAUCCUGUGCAGACUGCGGUAGCUCCAUUUUGCACAGUGUUCUCUUUCAGAAGGCGCACAUCUUAAGUUCCAGUCUCCUUCUCAGUAAACCUACUGUACUUGGGUUGAGUCUUUUCCUGCAUUUUGGCCUGAAAACUGUGUGAACCAGCCAAGGUUGGUAGUGGAAUCUAUCGUUUCAUUUUUAUAUCCUAAGCAUCAGGGCUCUGAGGUCUGAGCUCCUCUGUCUGUGAAUAGUUGCCCACAGAUUUUGUCCAGUUUCUUGGCUGCUUGCAGCAGAGAGACAAAUCUGGUUCCUGGGACUCAUCCUUAAAGGAAACAGGACAAGGGAAUGGCUUAAAAUUUGAAUCCAAACAGAGCUAGUAAGACACCAGAGUCAGUAUGACUCCAGUCUUUUACUCUUGACGUUGUUGGUGACUGUCUCUCAUCCCAUUGGUGCAAGAUGACUUUACACGCUGACAUGAUUGGCUAAUUAGCUCAAAGGGGAAGAGAAAAUUUCAGGAGAUUUAAAUCUUUGCCAAGGGACCUACAGUUGCUUUGGUCUACUGAAUCAAAGUUGAGUUUUGUUUUUGUUUUGUCUGCUUU